CCCUCUACACUCAGCUCCUUCUCGGUGGUCGUCCCAGCAGGUAGGCCCUCCUCAUCACACCGCUUCCCUCUACACUCAGCUCCUUCUCGGUGGUCGUCCCAGCAGGUAGGCCCUCCUCAUCACACCGCUUCCCUCUACACUCAGCUCCUUCUCGGUGGUCGUCCCAGGAGGUAGGCCCUCCUCAUCACACCGCUUCCCUCUACACUCAGCUCCUUCUCGGUGGUCGUCCCAGCAGGUAGGCCCUCCUCAUCACACCGCUUCCCUCUACACUCAGCUCCUUCUCGGUGGUCGUCCCAGGAGGUAGGCCCUCCUCAUCACACCGCUUCCCUCUACACUCAGCUCCUUCUCGGUGGUCGUCCCAGCAGGUAGGCCCUCCUCAUCACACCGCUUCCCUCUACACUCAGCUCCUUCUCGGUGGUCGUCCCAGCAGGUAGGCCCUCCUCAUCACACCGCUUCCCUCUACACUCAGCUCCUUCUCGGUGGUCGUCCCAGCAGGUAGGCCCUCCUCAUCACACCGCUUCCCUCUACACUCAGCUCCUUCUCGGUGGUCGUCCCAGCAGGUAGGCCCUCCUCAUCACACCGCUUCCCUCUACACUCAGCUCCUUCUCGGUGGUCGUCCCAGGAGGUAGGCCCUCCUCAUCACACCGCUUCCCUCUACACUCAGCUCCUUCUCGGUGGUCGUCCCAGGAGGUAGGCCCUCCUCAUCACACCGCUUCCCUCUACACUCAGCUCCUUCUCGGUGGUCGUCCCAGGAGGUAGGCCCUCCUCAUCACACCGC
This is a long non-coding RNA of Oncorhynchus keta (chum salmon), 778 nucleotides long. RefSeq lists it as uncharacterized. The transcript has 3 exons. Lineage: Eukaryota; Metazoa; Chordata; Actinopteri; Salmoniformes; Salmonidae. The record is from RefSeq and is a predicted model, not a curated record.